RNAcentral lists this ribosomal RNA (468 nucleotides) under uncultured bacterium. Its description in RNAcentral is "partial 16S ribosomal RNA". It matches the Rfam family "Bacterial small subunit ribosomal RNA", at positions 28 to 507 of the family's 1533-position model. The record is from RNAcentral.
GACGAACGCUGGCGGCGUGCUUAACACAUGCAAGUCGAACGGAAAGGCCCUGCUUUUGUGGGGUGCUCGAGUGGCGAACGGGUGAGUAACACGUGAGUAACCUGCCCUUGACUUUGGGAUAACUUCAGGAAACUGGGGCUAAUACCGGAUAGGAGCUCCUGCUGCAUGGUGGGGGUUGGAAAGUUUCGGCGGUUGGGGAUGGACUCGCGGCUUAUCAGCUUGUUGGUGGGGUAGUGGCUUACCAAGGCUUUGACGGGUAGCCGGCCUGAGAGGGUGACCGGCCACAUUAGGACUGAGAUACGGCGCAGACUCCUACGGGAGGCAGCAGUGGGGAAUAUUGCACAAUGGGCGGAAGCCUGAUGCAGCAACGCCGCGUGCGGGAUGACGGCCUUCGGGUUGUAAACCGCUUUCGCCUGUGACGAAGCGUGAGUGACGGUAAUGGGUAAAGAAGCACCGGCUAACUACGUG